UAGUGACAGGCGGCGAAAGUCGCUUUUUCCCGGCAAGGGACACUAGUCGAGGUGCUGCAUGGCUGUCGUCAGCUCGUGUCGUGAGAUGUUGGGUUAAGUCCCGCAACGAGCGCAACCCUGCCUUUAGUUGCCACCAGAUUAUGCUGAGCACUCUAAAGGGACUGCCGGUGAAAAACCGGAGGAAGGUGGGAUGACGUCAAGUCCUCAUGGCCUUUAUGUCCAGGGCUACACACGUACUACAAUGGGCGGCACAAUGAGUCGCAAACCCGCGAGGGGGAGCCAAUCUCAAAAAACCGCUCUCAGUUCGGAUUGCAGUCUGCAACUCGACUGCAUGAAGCCGGAAUCGCUAGUAAUCGCUGAUCAGCAAGCAGCGGUGAAUACGUUCCCGGGCCUUGUACACACCGCCCGUCACAUCACGAAAGCCAGUUGUACUAGAAGCCGGUAAUUCAACCGCAAGGAGAUAGCCGUCCAAGGUAUGACUGGUGAUUGGGGUGAAGUCGUAACAAGGUAAGCGUAGUGCU
This 521-nucleotide ribosomal RNA is filed under the name uncultured bacterium. Its description in RNAcentral is "bacterial SSU rRNA". It matches the Rfam family "Bacterial small subunit ribosomal RNA", at positions 989 to 1509 of the family's 1533-position model. The record is from RNAcentral.